GCCUGAUGCAGCGACGCCGCGUGAGGGAUGACGGCCUUCGGGUUGUAAACCUCUUUCAGCACAGACGAAGCGCAAGUGACGGUAUGUGCAGAAGAAGGACCGGCCAACUACGUGCCAGCAGCCGCGGUAAUACGUAGGGUCCGAGCGUUGUCCGGAAUUACUGGGCGUAAAGAGCUCGUAGGUGGUUUGUCGCGUUGUUCGUGAAAACUCACAGCUUAACUGUGGGCGUGCGGGCGAUACGGGCAGACUUGAGUACUGCAGGGGAGACUGGAAUUCCUGGUGUAGCGGUGGAAUGCGCAGAUAUCAGGAGGAACACCGGUGGCGAAGGCGGGUCUCUGGGCAGUAACUGACGCUGAGGAGCGAAAGCGUGGGGAGCGAACAGGAUUAGAUACCCUGGUAGUCCACGCCGUAAACGGUGGGUACUAGGUGUGGGUUUCCUUCCUUGGGAUCCGUGCCGUAGCUAACGCAUUAAGUACCCCGCCUGGGGAGUACGGCCGCAAGGCUAAAACUCAAAGAAAUUGACGGGGGCCCGCACAAGCGGCGGAGCAUGUGGAUUAAUUCGAUGCAACGCGAAGAACCUUACCUGGGUUUGACAUGCACAGGACGCUGGUAGAGAUAUCAGUUCCCUUGUGGCCUG
Molecule: ribosomal RNA, 637 nt
Filed under: Mycobacterium sp. Se2Pw_3594
Lineage: Bacteria; Bacillati; Actinomycetota; Actinomycetes; Mycobacteriales; Mycobacteriaceae
Also listed under: 2 other names
Description: bacterial SSU rRNA
Rfam family: Bacterial small subunit ribosomal RNA
Source: RNAcentral